AUAUGGUGUAUGACAUAAGUUUCCUGGCAUGUAAUAACUUUCUGUUUCUUCACCACAUUAAGAUUUCAGUGUCUUUAUAUCUAUCAUUUUCUCUGACAAAGUGUGCUUAGUUUUCAACAAGAACUAAUUAUUAGACUUCAUGUUCUUUUUUUGAGAGCACAUUUAGCUAGCUUUGUGGAUCGCAUUGACAACAAACAAUCCUCUUCUUUAUUAUUACUAUUUCUUAGUAUUAUAUAUACAGCGGAGGGAAAACUUUAUUCGCAAAAAGGUUCAAAGUAUGUCGAUUGUUGGGCAUGAAGACUGUUAAAGACAAAUUAAGCAGAUGGAGAAAUAUCCACUCUUCAGUCCAAUGGAAAGUUCUUUCACAUCGACAUUAAUAUUUUUUAAAGGGAAAAAGGAUGAAUUUAUCCCCGAACUUUGAUAAAUGGUACGUCUAUGCCCUCCGUAAUACUUUGGGUCCAUCUCAGCCCCUGCCGUCCAAUUAUCGGUACACACAUGCCCCUCUCACUAACGAUCCCCUCAUCCUGUACACGUGUUUUAAUCCUAAUCAACUAUCCGUUUGACCAUUAUUUUUAACCCAUAAACUAACAACCCGCCCCAUAAACCCAUACCCACCCGAUUCCC
Long non-coding RNA from Solanum tuberosum (potato), 624 nucleotides. RefSeq lists it as uncharacterized. The transcript has 3 exons. Lineage: Eukaryota; Viridiplantae; Streptophyta; Magnoliopsida; Solanales; Solanaceae. The record is from RefSeq and is a predicted model, not a curated record.